Small nucleolar RNA from Dicentrarchus labrax (European seabass), 129 nucleotides. Ensembl annotates it as small nucleolar RNA, H/ACA box 11G. Its record names the gene SNORA11E. The record is from Ensembl. Lineage: Eukaryota; Metazoa; Chordata; Actinopteri; Moronidae.
CUGGUGUGAUCAGAGCCAGUGUCUGUCAGACCAUAGACUCUGGUUUAUACCACACCAAAGAGCAGCAGGAGACUGCAGGAAACCAGACCUCUACAGCAGAGUGUCUGGACCAGCAGACUCCAAACAUUA